RNAcentral lists this ribosomal RNA (484 nucleotides) under uncultured bacterium. RNAcentral's name for it is "partial 16S ribosomal RNA". It matches the Rfam family "Bacterial small subunit ribosomal RNA", at positions 28 to 523 of the family's 1533-position model. The record is from RNAcentral.
GACGAACGCUGGCGGCGUGCUUAACACAUGCAAGUCGAACGAUGAAGCUGGAGCUUGCUCCGGUGGAUUAGUGGCGAACGGGUGAGUAACACGUGAGAAAUCUGCCCUUGACUCUGGGAUAACUGCGGGAAACUGUAGCUAAUACCGGAUACUUUCCCUGGUGGGCAUCCACUGGGGAAGAAAGAAUUUCGGUCAAGGAUGAUCUCGCGGCCUAUCAGCUAGUUGGUGAGGUAAUGGCUCACCAAGGCGACGACGGGUAGCCGGCCUGAGAGGGUGACCGGCCACACUGGGACUGAGACACGGCCCAGACUCCUACGGGAGGCAGCAGUGGGGAAUAUUGCACAAUGGGCGCAAGCCUGAUGCAGCAACGCCGCGUGAAGGAUGAAGGCCUUCGGGUUGUAAACCUCUUUUAGCAGGGAAGAAGCGAAAGUGACGGUACCUGCAGAAAAAGCACCGGCUAACUACGUGCCAGCCGCCGCCGUAA